UCUUAGUAAUUAAUAACUCCUAUUAAUUUAUUUAUAUGGUGGCACAAAAUCGGAAGCCCCGACUGUUUACUAAAAACACAACUAUCUGCAAUUAUGAAAAUAAUAGUAUAGGUAGUGAGAUUUGCCCAAUGCCAUAUUAAUAAGUAAUAAUAAUAAGUAACUGUUUCUUUACAAAAAAUUGGUUAAUAGCGGUCUUAACUAUGAGGAUCCUAAGGUAGCAAAAUAAAUUGGCCAUUAAAUGUGGUCCAGUAUCAAUAAUUUAACGAUGGCUUCACUGUCUCUACAACAUGCUCAGUGAAAU
RNAcentral lists this ribosomal RNA (301 nucleotides) under Harrya chromipes. RNAcentral's name for it is "LSU rRNA". It matches the Rfam family "Bacterial large subunit ribosomal RNA", at positions 1733 to 2042 of the family's 2925-position model. The record is from RNAcentral. Lineage: Eukaryota; Fungi; Basidiomycota; Agaricomycetes; Boletales; Boletaceae.